GCAGCCAGAGGAACGAUGCGCGGGAUACAUGAACUCCUUCUCCCCGGGCCGGAGGGGGAGCGAACCCCGCAGCAAACGGGUUGGCGCACGCCCUGCACGGGGGGAGGACUCGCCCCUGAGGCACGGAAAGGAGAUGGGCCCCCGAGCGCUCUGCUCCGCCCCGCCCGCAGACAACGCCCCGUCCCGUCCCGUCCCACCCCACCCCGCACAGCUGCACGCUGCAGCCCGCAGCCGGACCCCGCACCUCAGCUCAGCUCAGCUCACCUGCCGGGCCGGGCACAGCGCGCCUGCGACCCUGGCCCCGCGGCGGCCACGCCCACGCUGACCGGGCACGCCCCGCCCGGGACGGCCGCGAGAGAGGCGCGCAUGCGCAGACUGCCCGCCUCCCUCACUCCCCCGCCCGCACUGGGCUGGCGGCCUGGCCGGGGCCGAGGCGUGGCCGGGGUGCCGGGGUCACGCCACGGCUGGCGCUCGGGGCGGCAGCGGGCCAGCGGGCGGAACGGGCGGUCGUUGCUCCGGUUUCCACCCUCCGCCCGGGUGCUUAGAAAAAGCCUUCAAAGGGGGGUUGUGCUCUCAGCAGGGUCCUUUUUAGUUUAUGAAGCUCACAAGCUGAUUUCUGGCUUUGCUGAGGUUCAUGCAAGCUUCAAAGUGGAAGAAGUUAUAGAGCAAGCAGACUACCUGUAUGGGAGUGGAGAAACUGAAAAGCUGUAUCGGUUGCUGGUUCAGCAUAAAAAUAGUGAUGACGCAGAGUUGUUAUGGCGGCUGGCGAGGGCAUCACGAGAUCUUGCUCAGCUUAGCAGCACUUCUGCAGAGCAGAGAAAACAACUGGCGUAUGAAGCCCUUGAGUAUACAAAAAAGGCACUUGAAAAGAAUGAAUCAAAUUUUGCAGCACACAAGUGGUAUGGAAUUUGCCUCAGUGAUGUUGGAGAUUUUGAAGGAAUCAAGACUAAAAUUGGAAAUGCCUUUAUUAUCAAAGAGCACUUCGAGAGAGCUGUUGAACUGAAUCCAAAAGAUGCAACGACAAUUCAUCUUAUCGGCAUUUGGUGUUACUCCUUUGCUGAAAUGCCAUGGUACCAAAGAAAAAUAGCUGCAACACUAUUUGCCACACCACCAACCUCCACAUUUGAAGAGGUACAAUAUGAAAAUGUUUCACAGGCUCUGCGUUACUUCCAUAUGGCAGAGGAAGCAGACCCAAAUUUCUACAGCAAAAAUUUACUCUAUUUGGGGAAGACAUACUUGAAGUUAAACAAUAAAAAGUUGGCACUUCUGUGGUUAAGUAAAGCGAAGGAUUAUCCAGCACAUACAGAAGAGGACAAACAGAGGAGUCCAGAGCUGCUCACCUGAGAGAGGUGGAAUUCUCUCUGUUCCCUCAGUGAAUGUGUAAAAUGCAACAUUCAUUGGGCACUAGGCUGGAUAGUCCAAUAAGAAGGAAACUGGCCUGUGGAAAGAAAUUGGAAUUCUUGUCUCUGCCUUGGCAGAGGUACAAAAAGAAGCUUUGGAGUUGCUUAAUUCUAUAUAAGAAACAAGAUAAUGGGAAUUCAGUGCCUCAGGUUUGAGCAGCAUAGGAAGAAGACCCCAAAUACUACUUUGGUUGAUGGAAGCUGUUAAUAAAAGUACAGCCUAAACUUGCUGUCUCCAUCAUGCUUCAAUUAAAUUGUCAGUUGGAAGAUAUGUUUCAUCAUGUGAUCCUGUCUGUUGAUUUACAUGGGAAUAAAGAGCUUCAUGGACCUAUAUGAAGAGGUAAAGAAGGGCAAAAAUUGCUCAGACUAACAAACCAAACCUAUGCCAAGUUAGUAGUAAAAAUCCACAGCCAAGAUACAAUCUAGAGCUUUCAUUCUAGCCUCAGACCACAAACUAGUUAGAAGAUUUUUUUUUUCCCCACUAUGGUGAAGUAAUUAUUUUUCUAUUGGUAAAUCAUCAAAAUGAAGAGUUUGAUAUGUCAGAAAUCCCAGGGCGGAUGACAUGUAGUGUUCCAGAGACAUUCGUCGAGUUUUCUGCAUUCAUACACUACAGAAACAUUUGCCACAUGCAAAACUGCUUCCAGUAGCCCUUGUGGCAGAGGCAUCUUCUGUGCCUUUUCAGCUGCAGAAAACAGCACCUGCAAGAAAGCCUGUCCAGGUACCAAGAGAAGACUGUUCGGUGUUUGGACAACGUGAGUUGCUUCCAGUAACAAACAGAAACCAUGAACCACGGGUAGUGUUAUCUCACCAGUUCCCUCUGAUCCCCAGCCCUUGCCGUCUUCCUCCCCCGCGUCCAAGUACAGCUGGAGUGCAAACGGGGAAAGAAAAGAUAACAAUGCAGUUAGUACUGAAAUUCACAGUACACACACCUCCCCACCUCCCCCAAAGGAAACAAAUUGUUGUGUUGGGUUUUUUUCUCAGGUUGUAUUUUUUUUAAGGACAAACUAUUGAAGUUAAGAAACACCUAAAAUUAGGAAAACAAUAAAGCAAGUACAUUCUU
This is an RNA transcript of Columba livia (rock pigeon), 2460 nucleotides long. It is a transcript of the gene named regulator of microtubule dynamics 1, with no coding region annotated. The record is from RefSeq and is a predicted model, not a curated record. The transcript is spliced from 11 exons. Lineage: Eukaryota; Metazoa; Chordata; Aves; Columbiformes; Columbidae.